Benincasa hispida (wax gourd) is the source of this 662-nucleotide long non-coding RNA. RefSeq lists it as uncharacterized. Lineage: Eukaryota; Viridiplantae; Streptophyta; Magnoliopsida; Cucurbitales; Cucurbitaceae. The record is from RefSeq and is a predicted model, not a curated record.
CUUUUUUAUCUUUUUCCUUUUUCUUCCCUCUUCCCUCUUCCUCCUCACACAAACCUAGCAGCCGCUCACUCUCCCUACUGACCUUGACCGCCGACCUUCUCAGCCCGUCGUCCAGACGCCGCUAGUCCGACUCUAGUCGCUCGCCGCCGAGGUUUUUGCCCUAGCCGACUACUCUUCGUCGCGUUCUGCUGCCAUCGCUGCCCAGUCGACGCCGCACCGUUCGUCGAGGCCUGACCGCGUGCGAACCCCCCCGACGGCCGUUGCUUCCAGACGCAUCAGCAGUUGUUCCGACACUUUGCUACCCGCAUCGUCGUUCAGAUCUACUCUGUGCUGUUCCGGUUCGCCCUUCCAGUCGUUGUUCGCCGGCGUAGCAGCUGCUAUCUGUCAGGUUCAUCCUCUUCUGCCACCAUUUCGUGGGGUUUUCGCCAAAAGCUUGGAAUCUAGGCUUGGAUUGAACUUUCAAGGUGUCGGGAACCACUGCCCAGUACGAUUAGAGUUGGAAUAGAUUUCUGGAUCAGCACAUAGUUUGGGAUGUGAUUCAAGAAUUUUACUAAGUUAAAGGAGGGUGUGAAUUACUUUUUGUUAGAUUUAAUUGCGAGGUAAGGGUAGAGAUGCACUGGCAAUCGACAAACAGAAUUCGUGAUCGAGACACUAGGACUAGU